GACGAACGCUGGCGGCGUGCUUAACACAUGCAAGUCGAACGGAAAGGCCUCUUUCGGGGGGUACUCGAGUGGCGAACGGGUGAGUAACACGUGAGUAACCUGCCCUUGACUUUGGGAUAACUUCAGGAAACUGGGGCUAAUACCGGAUAGGAGCUCCUGCUGCAUGGUGGGGGUUGGAAAGUUUCGGCGGUUGGGGAUGGACUCGCGGCUUAUCAGCUUGUUGGUGGGGUAGUGGCUUACCAAGGCUUUGACGGGUAGCCGGCCUGAGAGGGUGACCGGCCACAUUGGGACUGAGAUACGGCCCAGACUCCCACGGGAGGCAGCAGUGGGGAAUAUUGCACAAUGGGUGGAAGCCUGAUGCAGCAACGCCGUGUGCGGGAUGACGGCCUUCGGGUUGUAAACCGCUUUCGCUCAUGACGAAGCUUUGUGUGACGGUAGUGGGUAAAGAAGCACCGGCUAACUACGUG
RNAcentral lists this ribosomal RNA (467 nucleotides) under uncultured bacterium. RNAcentral describes it as "partial 16S ribosomal RNA". It matches the Rfam family "Bacterial small subunit ribosomal RNA", at positions 28 to 507 of the family's 1533-position model. The record is from RNAcentral.